GCCUGGGAGGACUCUGGUUGCUGGAAUGAGCUGGUCUGUUGGGGGAGGGGGCACUGGAAGCCAAAGGACCCAGAGGGAAGCAGAAACGAGACAGGAGCCAAAUCACAGCCACGGAAAGCCAGCAGAGACCAGUGAGCUGCCAGAGGAGGGGACAGGGCCUGUCACAUGGGACCUGCACAGACCCAUGGGGCCCUGAGAUCAGAAUGGCCCCAGGGCAAUCAACUCCCUGACACAGGCCAGAUGGACAUCCGGGAGAAAUCCAUAGUACUGGAGCUGGUUCAGAGCCCCACGGAAUUAACUCGGAAUAAAACCACGAGAGAAAGAACAUUUUCAUGGGCCCUGCACGGAGCCUCCUGGGCCUGAUGGAGAGGGGCCCCACCCAGAAGAGCACAGGGCUGGCCCCACCCCUGCACCACACAUGCCCUUUAUCAACUGAACACUCCCACAGCCACACGGACAGGAUUCCUUCCAGUCUGUGUCUGUCUGAGCCCAGAAAAAGAGGAAAUACUGAGCUCUAGCUGGAGCUUCAUCCAGCGAUGAUAAAUAAUC
Molecule: long non-coding RNA, 549 nt
Filed under: Homo sapiens (human)
Lineage: Eukaryota; Metazoa; Chordata; Mammalia; Primates; Hominidae
Description: HSALNT0392036
Source: RNAcentral